Molecule: ribosomal RNA, 497 nt
Filed under: uncultured bacterium
Lineage: Bacteria
Description: partial 16S ribosomal RNA
Rfam family: Bacterial small subunit ribosomal RNA
Source: RNAcentral
GACGAACGCUGGCGGCGUGCCUAAUACAUGCAAGUAGAACGCUGAAGAGAGGAGCUUGCUCUUCUUGGAUGAGUUGCGCACGGGUGAGUAACGCGUAGGUAACCUGCCUGGUAGCGGGGGAUAACUAUUGGAAACGAUAGCUGAUACCGCAUAAAAUUGAUUAUUGCAUGAUAAUUAAUUGAAAGAUGCAACUGCAUCACUACCAGAUGGACCUGCGUUGUAUUAGGUAGUUGGUGAGGUAACGGCUCACCAAGGCGACGAUACAUAGCCGACCUGAGAGGGGGAUCGGCCACACUGGGACUGAGACACGGCCCAGACUCCUACGGGAGGCAGCCGUAGGGAAUCUUCGGGAAUGGGGGGAACCCUGACCGAGCAACGCCGCGGGAGGGAAGAAGGGUGUCGGAUCGUAAAGAUCGGUUGUAAGGGAAGAACGGGUGUGAGAGUGGAAAGUUCACACUGUGACGGUAUCUUACCAGAAAGGGACGGCUAACUACGUG